Long non-coding RNA from Hemicordylus capensis (graceful crag lizard), 644 nucleotides. RefSeq lists it as uncharacterized. The transcript is spliced from 3 exons. The record is from RefSeq and is a predicted model, not a curated record. NCBI's taxonomy places the organism in Eukaryota, Metazoa, Chordata, Lepidosauria, Squamata, Cordylidae.
CUCAUAAGGAACCAGCUUCCAGGAAGCACAAGCAGUGGGUUACAUCAGCUCUCCACAUCUGCGGAACUGACCAUCCUACCAAUGGAUCUGCCUCAUCAUUGUAUAUGGGCACGGAGGUGAAGCCAGGGAACAGCUUCUGGAUUUCUCCUGCUGCUUCAGUUUCUUGUUCUAAGAUGUGAAGAGAACUCCCAGCUCCCUGUGGGAUAUCUGCCUUUCACUUGUUCCAAUUCCAGGGAUAUAAAUAACCUUCCAGAUACAAAAGUUUUCUCUUGUUUCUGCUACCGUAUGACUUCAGAACGUCUUCAUCUGGGCUAAUGGCUUAAGUGAAGGGUCCUCUGGUAAGGCAAAGCUGUGGGAAGGAUUCAGUGGCCUCAGAUUCCUGAAAAUGACCAGAUAUGGAUGACUGUGUUUAUGGAACUAUUUUGGGCUAUUAAGCAAAAGGUUUAUGAUGCUCAUGUUUGAGGAAGAGUUGGGCUGCACACAUUGGGAAAAAGUAGGGCUGUACACUCUGGUUAGUUAUCUGCAUCUCUGCUGAGUGUUCCACUUGGUGUACUAUUGGAAUAUUUGCUUGCAUAACAAAGAAGUGCAGCAAUUAUUAACUGUAGUUUCAUGUCAACAGAAUAAAGCACAGUUCAAAUACUAAA